CUAUAAUCUGUUUUAUCUACCGCUCUGGCCUAGCCUACUUCUGAGGCAGACCUGACUUACGCAAACGUUUGACUUCUACGUCAUAGACGGUCAACAUUCGGUCGCCUUUAUGAUGAGCCCCUAUGGACCUAACGUAACUGAAAUGUUCACCAGAACAUUACCAUUUCCUCUGAACCCCACAAGUGUCAAGCACUGUUCAGCGUCUACUUGUCGGAAAGAGAAUCUACUGAAAUAUCUUCGCAAGCUUCAGGGGGUAGGCACAAUGGUGAAUCCUGCGUGUGUGCGUGCAAGCGAAAAAGGCUGGAGCGCCCUGUAGUGUAUUAAUCAAUUAACUACAUAUUACACAGGUUCACAUUGUGGAUGCCAUCAAGGGCUCCAUUCCCUGCCUGAGCACCUGAGCUGAGCCCCCAGCCAGGUCCCAGGACAUGGGGAACACGGUGAGUUGUUGUUUUCGUCCAAAUCCUCGGGACCGCCGGGAGGAUCAGGAGGAGGGGCAGCGGUUGCAUGAGGACAUUCAGACCCAGCAGACCUCUGUAAAAACAUUGGAGGGUGGUUCAGUAGGCGCUACCAGGGCAGAUAGCUCUGACUCACCAUUGCUCACUAAUGACGAGGGCACUGGCCAGUCAAAACCAGGCCUGCCACU
This is a long non-coding RNA of Alosa alosa (allis shad), 643 nucleotides long. RefSeq lists it as uncharacterized. The record is from RefSeq and is a predicted model, not a curated record. NCBI's taxonomy places the organism in Eukaryota, Metazoa, Chordata, Actinopteri, Clupeiformes, Clupeidae. The transcript is spliced from 3 exons.